UACGAAGGGGGCGAGCGUUGUUCGGAAUCACUGGGCGUAAAGGGCGCGUAGGCGGUCUCUUAAGCGUGUGGUGAAAGCCCGGGGCUCAACUCCGGGUCGGCCGUGCGAACUGGGGGACUGGAGCUUGUCAGAGGCAGGCGGAAUUCCGGGUGUAGCGGUGGAAUGCGUAGAGAUCCGGAAGAACACCGGUGGCGAAGGCGGCCUGCUGGGACAGUGCUGACGCUGAGGCGCGACAGCGUGGGGAGCAAACAGG
Molecule: ribosomal RNA, 253 nt
Filed under: uncultured bacterium
Lineage: Bacteria
Description: partial 16S ribosomal RNA
Rfam family: Bacterial small subunit ribosomal RNA
Source: RNAcentral